CCCUUCAGUGCCCAUGUUAUUGUCUUACUUAAUUCCCCUGUAUUCACCUUGAUUUUAUUACGCUUCAAGUCCUGUCAGUUGAACUUGGAUUUCAAUAUCCACCCUGAGGGGGUUUUUCCUUGACUGGCUGUGCAUGAAGCUAGGAGUAAUCUAGAGAGACGAUCUUGUCCUAAUUCCCCUGAAGAAGCCAAGAGGCGAAACUAGUAGGGUCGACCUGAUCGAAAAAAUUAUUUCUAGAUCUUGCUC
Rana temporaria (common frog) is the source of this 246-nucleotide long non-coding RNA. RefSeq lists it as uncharacterized. The transcript is spliced from 3 exons. The record is from RefSeq and is a predicted model, not a curated record. Lineage: Eukaryota; Metazoa; Chordata; Amphibia; Anura; Ranidae.